This 429-nucleotide ribosomal RNA is filed under the name Chloroflexota bacterium. Its description in RNAcentral is "Chloroflexi bacterium partial 16S ribosomal RNA". It matches the Rfam family "Bacterial small subunit ribosomal RNA", at positions 355 to 776 of the family's 1533-position model. The record is from RNAcentral. Lineage: Bacteria; Bacillati; Chloroflexota.
UGGGGAAUAUUGCACAAUGGGCGCAAGCCUGAUGCAGCCAUGCCGCGUGUAUGAAGAAGGCCUUCGGGUUGUAAAGUACUUUCAGCGGGGAGGAAGGGAGUAAAGUUAAUACCUUUACUCAUUGACGUUAUCCGCAGAAGAAGCACCGGCUAACUCCGUGCCAGCAGCCGCGGUAAUACGGAGGGUGCAAGCAUUAAUCGGAAUUACUGGGCGUAAAGCGCACGCAGGCGGUUUGUUAAGUCAGAUGUGAAAUCCCCGGGCUCAACCUGGGAACUGCAUCUAAUACUGGCAAGCUUGAGACUCGUAGAGGGGGGUAGAAUUCCAGGUGUAACGGUGAAAUGCGUAGAGAGCUGGAGGAAUACCGGUGGCGAAGGCGGCCCCCUGGACGAAGACUGACGCUCAGGUGCGAAAGCGUGGGGAGCAAACAGG